Long non-coding RNA from Jatropha curcas, 516 nucleotides. RefSeq lists it as uncharacterized. The record is from RefSeq and is a predicted model, not a curated record. Lineage: Eukaryota; Viridiplantae; Streptophyta; Magnoliopsida; Malpighiales; Euphorbiaceae.
ACUAAUGUGCAAUCACGUGAUCCCAUAACCGGCCUUUGUUUCUUUCUUUCUUUCCAUUACGGCUCUUCCUCUCUUCUUCCUCAUAAGCAUUCCAUUUCCAUCAUUUUCUAGAGAAAGAAAACGACAGCAAAGAGAAAGAGAGAAAUGGAGCCACCAGCAACACAGGCGAUAGGGAGGAAUUGCCAGUCUGGAGAAGAUGAACAGGACAAAGUUAUCAACGAAUGUUGUUCUUGCUUUUAUGAUUGCACAGAAAGCUGCUUUGAUUACUUGUGCUGUAAUUUCUGCUGAGAGAAUAAACUUUUAGAAUAUUCUAUUCUAUCUCUUACUCGCCAUGGCCCAUGAAUAUGUAUAAUGUCACCGUUUGGAGAAACUGGUUUCUUAUGGAUUUAUUGGAAUUUUAAUUUAAUUAGCUGAAGAAAAAUUGUGUAGUUUCACUUUUUUAAAAUUUUUCUGUUUUCGGUUUUGUUAAUUCGUUUCGACUCGAUUAAUCCCAAAAUUAAACCAUCUGUCGUUCGA